This 331-nucleotide ribosomal RNA is filed under the name uncultured bacterium. Its description in RNAcentral is "bacterial SSU rRNA". It matches the Rfam family "Bacterial small subunit ribosomal RNA", at positions 568 to 898 of the family's 1533-position model. The record is from RNAcentral.
CGCGUAGGCGGCCUUCGUAGUCAGGCGUGAAAGCCCCGGGCUUAACCUGGGAAUUGCGCUUGAUACUCGGAGGCUGGAGUACGGGAGAGGAGAGUGGAAUUCCCAGUGUAGAGGUGAAAUUCGUAGAUAUUGGGAAGAACACCGGUGGCGAAGGCGGCUCUCUGGACCGUAACUGACGCCGAGGCGCGAAAGCGUGGGGAGCAAACAGGAUUAGAUACCCUGGUAGUCCACGCCGUAAACGAUGUGCGCUAGACGUUGGAAGGCCUAGCCUUUCAGUGUCGCAGCUAACGCUUUAAGCGCACCGCCUGGGGAGUACGGCCGCAAGGUUAAA